CCUACGGGAGGCAGCAGUGGGGAAUUUUGGACAAUGGGCGCAAGCCUGAUCCAGCCAUGCCGCGUGCGGGAAGAAGGCCUUCGGGUUGUAAACCGCUUUUGUCAGGGAAGAAAUCCUUUGAGAUAAUACCUCGGAGGGAUGACGGUACCUGAAGAAUAAGCACCGGCUAACUACGUGCCAGCAGCCGCGGUAAUACGUAGGGUGCGAGCGUUAAUCGGAAUUACUGGGCGUAAAGCGUGCGCAGGCGGUCUUGCAAGACAGAUGUGAAAUCCCCGGGCUCAACCUGGGAACUGCAUUUGUGACUGCAAGGCUAGAGUACGGUAGAGGGGGAUGGAAUUCCGCGUGUAGCAGUGAAAUGCGUAGAUAUGCGGAGGAACACCGAUGGCGAAGGCAAUCCCCUGGACCUGUACUGACGCUCAUGCACGAAAGCGUGGGGAGCAAACAGGAUUAGAUACCCUGGUAGUCCACGCCCUAAACGAUGUCAACUGGUUGUUGGACGGCUUGCUGUUCNGUAACGAGCUAACGCGUGAAGUUGACCGCCUGGGGAGUACGGCGCAAGGUUGAAACUUAAAGGAAUUGNGNGAGAGAGCGACGGACGACGACGAGGGAGGAGG
This 614-nucleotide ribosomal RNA is filed under the name uncultured bacterium. Its description in RNAcentral is "bacterial SSU rRNA". It matches the Rfam family "Bacterial small subunit ribosomal RNA", at positions 338 to 947 of the family's 1533-position model. The record is from RNAcentral.